CCUACGGGGGGCAGCAGUCGAGAAUCAUUCACAAUGGGGGAAACCCUGAUGGUGCGACGCCGCGUGGGGGAAUGAAGGUCUUCGGAUUGUAAACCCCUGUCAUGUGGGAGCAAAUUAAAAAGAUAGUACCACAAGAGGAAGAGACGGCUAACUCUGUGCCAGCAGCCGCGGUAAUACAGAGGUCUCAAGCGUUGUUCGGAAUCACUGGGCGUAAAGCGUGCGUAGGCUGUUUCGUAAGUCGUGUGUGAAAGGCGCGGGCUCAACCCGCGGACGGCACAUGAUACUGCGAGACUAGAGUAAGGGAGGGGGAACCGGAAUUCGCGGUGUAGCAGUGAAAUGCGUAGAUAUCGAGAGGAACACUCGUGGCGAAGGCGGGUUCCUGGACAUUAACUGACGCUGAGGCACGAAGGCCAGGGGAGCGAAAGGGAUUAGAUACCCGGGUAGUC
RNAcentral lists this ribosomal RNA (446 nucleotides) under uncultured bacterium. RNAcentral describes it as "partial 16S ribosomal RNA". It matches the Rfam family "Bacterial small subunit ribosomal RNA", at positions 338 to 795 of the family's 1533-position model. The record is from RNAcentral.